GCCUGGUUAGCAUAAAAGUAAUGCAAUUGUUUUGUAAUCAAUAGAAGCAAGUGCGAUACUUGCACUGGGCUCCA
This 74-nucleotide transfer RNA is filed under the name Neurospora crassa. Its description in RNAcentral is "tdbR00000440". It matches the Rfam family "tRNA". Rfam says of the family: Transfer RNA (tRNA) molecules are approximately 80 nucleotides in length. Their secondary structure includes four short double-helical elements and three loops (D, anti-codon, and T loops). Lineage: Eukaryota; Fungi; Ascomycota; Sordariomycetes; Sordariales; Sordariaceae. The record is from RNAcentral.